GUACGUAAGUAUGGCAUAAUGAACAAAUAACACUGAUUGUAAAGGUUAUUGAUAACGAAUAAAAGUUACGCUAGGGAUAACAGGGUAAUAUAGCGAAAGAGUAGAUAUUGUAAGCUAUGUUUGCCACCUCGCUGUCGACUCAUCAUUUCCUCUUGGUUGUAAAAGCUAAGAAGGGUUUGACUGUUCGUCAAUUAAAAUGUUACGUGAGUUGGGUUAAAUACGAUGUGAAUCAGUAUGGUUCCUAUCUGCUGAAGGAAAUAUUAUCAAAUUAAAUCUCAUUAUUAGUAC
This 288-nucleotide ribosomal RNA is filed under the name Saccharomyces cerevisiae (brewer's yeast). Its description in RNAcentral is "partial 21S ribosomal RNA". The stretch from base 1 to 255 matches the Rfam family "Bacterial large subunit ribosomal RNA", at positions 2397 to 2651 of the family's 2925-position model. The record is from RNAcentral. Lineage: Eukaryota; Fungi; Ascomycota; Saccharomycetes; Saccharomycetales; Saccharomycetaceae.